UACGGGGGGGGCAAGCGUUGUUCGGAAUUACUGGGCGUAAAGGGCUCGUAGGCGGCCAACUAAGUCCGACGUGAAAUCCCAAGGCUUAACCUUGGAACUGCGUCGGAUACUGGAUGGCUUGAGUUCGGGAGAGGGAUGCGGAAUUCCAGGUGUAGCGGUGAAAUGCGUAGAUAUCUGGAGGAACACCGGUGGCGAAGGCGGCAUCCUGGACCGACACUGACACUGAGGAGCGAAAGCCAGGGGAGCAAACGGG
RNAcentral lists this ribosomal RNA (253 nucleotides) under uncultured bacterium. Its description in RNAcentral is "partial 16S ribosomal RNA". It matches the Rfam family "Bacterial small subunit ribosomal RNA", at positions 524 to 776 of the family's 1533-position model. The record is from RNAcentral.